CACCCAAGUACUAAGCAAUUCUAUAAUAUUAUAGAACUUUUUAUGUUAAAACUAGUAACAUGAAGUCACCUUCUCUUAAAUGCAAACGUAAAUCAGGUAGGAACAGCCACUGAUAAUUAACACCCAUGAACCUACAGUAGUAACAUUACAAGAAAACUCUACUUCAUCCUAUGUUAACCUUACACAAGAACAUUUUAAGAAAGAUUUUAAAAAAAAGAAGGAACUCGGCAAACAUUAACCCCGCCUGUUUACCAAAAACAUCGCCUCCUGAAAACCAUAAGAGGUCAGCCUGCCCAGUGACCUUGUUCAACGGCCGCGGUAUCCUAACCGUGCGAAGGUAGCAUAAUCACUUGUUCUUUAAAUGAGGACUAGUAUGAAUGGCAUCACGAAGGUUAUACUGUCUCCUUUUUUUAAUCAGUGAAACUAAUCUCCCCGUGAAGAAGCGGGGAUAAGUCUAUAAGACGAGAAGACCCUAUGGAGCUUUAAACGAAGCAACACCUGUUAAGCAAUAAAAAAAUUUAAGAAAACUAACAAACACUUUAACACCCUGUAUGCAAGUUUUAGGUUGGGGCGACCACGGAGUACAAUUUAACCUCCGCAAUGAAAAGACAAACCUCCUUAACCAAGAGUAACAACUCUAAGUAUCAAAAAAUUGACAUUCUUUGACCAAUAAUUUGAUCAAUGAACCAAGUUACCCUAGGGAUAACAGCGCAAUCCUCUUCAAGAGCCCUAUCGACAAGAGGGUUUACGACCUCGAUGUUGGAUCAGGGGCUCCAGUGGUGCAGCCGCUACUAAAGGUUCGUUGUCACGAUA
RNAcentral lists this ribosomal RNA (813 nucleotides) under Hydrolaetare caparu. Its description in RNAcentral is "partial 16S ribosomal RNA". It matches the Rfam family "Bacterial large subunit ribosomal RNA", at positions 1509 to 2589 of the family's 2925-position model. The record is from RNAcentral. Lineage: Eukaryota; Metazoa; Chordata; Amphibia; Anura; Leptodactylidae.